CAUGAUUCUAUGCAUGGUGGUGCAUGGCCGUUCUUAGUUGGUGGAAUGAUCUGUCAGGUUAAUUCCGAUAACGAACGAGACCCCACCCAUCUAACUAGCUGUUACUACUUCGGUAGUGUUUGCGCAAGCAUAAACAGCUUCUUAGAGGGACUAUCUGUGUCAGCAGGUGGAAGUUUGGGGCAAUAACAGGUCAGUGAUGCCCUUAGAUGCUCUGGGCUGCACGCGCGCUACAAUGGUGCAUUCAGCGAGUUUAACCUUGCUUGAAAAAGCUGGGUAAUCUUUAAAAUGCAUCUCAGUUGGGAUAGAUGAUUGCAAUUAUUCAUCUUGAACAAGGAAUAUCUAGUAAACGCAAGUCAUCAACUUGCAUUGAUUACGUCCCUGCCCUUUGUACACACCGCCCGUCGCUCCUACCGAUUGAAUAAUCCGGUGAAUUGAGUGAGUUGAGGCACACCUUCAUGGUGGUGCUUCAAGAAUCUCUGUGAACCUUAUUA
RNAcentral lists this ribosomal RNA (491 nucleotides) under Haplosporida sp. RNAcentral describes it as "SSU rRNA". It matches the Rfam family "Eukaryotic small subunit ribosomal RNA", at positions 1261 to 1771 of the family's 1831-position model. Lineage: Eukaryota; Endomyxa; Ascetosporea; Haplosporida. The record is from RNAcentral.